UCACAUGAAAUACGUUCUGAGGAAACUAUUUUGCAAAUCGCAAUUACGUUACAUGCCAACAUAUAAGCAGUGCUAUUACGUUGGUCCUUAACCUAAUAUGACCCGUCGCCAUGGACACAAGGGGUCGGAUAUCUAAAGUUAAAUAUUUUUAACUUACGCGUGAAAUGGUUGAUUUUAAAAAUAUAUAAAUUCUAAGUAAACAACAACAGCCCAGGUUUAGUAAACAUUUUUUAUUGAAACUAUAAAUAAAUAUUCUGCAUCCAUUUUAGGUGUGCCACUGUGGGUGGCUCCCGCACACCCCCGUGGCUACGCCCCUGCCAUGACCCAAAUCUCGUUCUCACAUAAUCGCGAUGUUUAUCAUCUAUUUACAAACGUAGCCAGUCGCCACAUCUUUGUUUCGACCAGUUAUGUCAGGAAGCUGCAACUAUUUCAAAGCAUCUUGAAAUGAAAGCUGACAAUGCUGAACUUGAAGCAGCUACCAGAGAGGCUGAAGAAAUUCUACAAAUGUUUAAUCCUCCACUGCUGAAAAAGAAGACCAAACGAGUGAUUUCCUGGACUCAACAGACACAGUGAACUUUGCACUGCAUUUCAAAGCCAGCUUCUCAGCCGCAACACUGAGAACCAGAGUUGAAGUCAAUGUACUGCUGAGAAAGUGCAAGAUCUAUUUAACCAAAAAUAUAAGGAUGCCGGAGGUACUGGAAGGCUCCCCUACCAAUCCCUGGUAAAUCAAGGCAUGACAGUUAAAGUUGCAGGACUGCCCAACAGCCUCAAAAAGCCAUCAUAUUAUGGAAGGAACCAGUUGGAGGCCAUUUUGCAAGCUGCUGAGGAGAUUUCAUUUGAAAUCAAUGCAGCACAAUGCAACUCCACUGACAAAGCAGAAGGAAUGUCAGAGGCGAUGGACGCAGAAGAGCUGGAAGAACAGUCCUCAGAAACAGCCACCGCUGUAGCUAUCGUGAUGACUGCAGAUUAAGAUGGAGGCCAUUUGUGCUGUGUCUGCCGCAUCCUUUUCGAUGAAAGGAAGAAGAAUGCUUCAGAGAAGUGGUGUUCAUGGUCACAGUGCACAGUGUGCCAAUCAUGGUCACACACUGCAUGUCAAGACACAAUGCAAACAGCCUGUAGCGAUGCAUCAGUGAUAGAAAACAUGCUAGUUACACAAAAUGUUUUAUGUUUUAACUUUGAGUUGUUUUUAUUUUGUUCAUGACCCCAUCCCUACAAACACACACACAUAUUUUAUUUUUAUUUUUAUGUAUUAGGUGCAAUUUAAUAUUUUUCAUGCAAAUGUAUUGUAAUGAUUACACUUAUAAGAAUAAAACAGAUUUUAAAUUCA
This is a non-coding RNA of Misgurnus anguillicaudatus (oriental weatherfish), 1327 nucleotides long. Lineage: Eukaryota; Metazoa; Chordata; Actinopteri; Cypriniformes; Cobitidae. The record is from RefSeq and is a predicted model, not a curated record.